This is a long non-coding RNA of Cygnus atratus (black swan), 336 nucleotides long. RefSeq lists it as uncharacterized. The record is from RefSeq and is a predicted model, not a curated record. NCBI's taxonomy places the organism in Eukaryota, Metazoa, Chordata, Aves, Anseriformes, Anatidae. The transcript has 3 exons.
AGGGCAGCCACAGGGAGGAGGAACACAAGGAGCAGGCAGGCAGAAAGGCAGGGGGAAGCCAUGAUGGAUCUGAGAGCCACAAACAAGGGGGCCGAGCCUGCAGCCGGGACGCCGGUCAGUAAUGAAUCAUAUCAAGGAAAAACAAGACGGGAUAACGCACAAGCUUAAGAUUUCUACCACUGCCAACUCCCAGUGGCUUCACCAGCUCUUAUGCAUGAAAUUGUUCUCAGUCCUGGGAGUCGAAUGACCAAGAGGGAGUUUUAGCAGCUACUAAGUCAUUUGGACAGGUAGACCAACAGCUCUUGGAUGUCGUGCCAAUAUGUCAGCCAGCAACCC